GUGGGGAAUCUUGCGCAAUGGGCGAAAGCCUGACGCAGCCAUGCCGCGUGAAUGAUGAAGGUCUUAGGAUUGUAAAAUUCUUUCACCGGGGACGAUAAUGACGGUACCCGGAGAAGAAGCUCCGGCUAACUUCGUGCCAGCAGCCGCGGUAAUACGAAGGGGGCUAGCGUUGCUCGGAAUUACUGGGCGUAAAGGGCGCGUAGGCGGACAGCUUAGUCAGAGGUGAAAGCCCAGGGCUCAACCUUGGAAUUGCCUUUGAUACUGGCUGUCUUGAGUUUGGGAGAGGUGAGUGGAACUCCGGGUGUAGAGGUGAAAUUCGUAGAUAUUCGGAAGAACACCAGUGGCGAAGGCGACUCACUGGCCCAAUACUGACGCUGAGGCGCGAAAGCGUGGGGAGCAAACAGGAUUAGAAACCCUAGUAGUCC
RNAcentral lists this ribosomal RNA (425 nucleotides) under uncultured bacterium. RNAcentral's name for it is "partial 16S ribosomal RNA". It matches the Rfam family "Bacterial small subunit ribosomal RNA", at positions 354 to 796 of the family's 1533-position model. The record is from RNAcentral.